ACGAACGCUGGCGGCGUGCCUAAUCCAUGCAAGUAGCACGCUGAAGGAGGAGCUUGCUUCUCUGGAUGAGUUGCGAACGGGUGAGUAACGCGUAGGUAACCUGCCUGGUAGCGGGGGAUAACUAUUGGAAACGAUAGCUAAUACCGCAUAAGAUUGACUAUUGCAUGAUAGUCAGUUAAAAGGUGCAAUUGCAUCACUACCAGAUGGACCUGCGUUGUAUUAGCUAGUUGGUGGGGUAACGGCUCACCAAGGCGACGAUACAUAGCCGACCUGAGAGGGUGAUCGGCCACACUGGGACUGAGACACGGCCCAGACUCCUACGGGAGGCAGCAGUAGGGAAUCUUCGGCAAUGGACGGAAGUCUGACCGAGCAACGCCGCGUGAGUGAAGAAGGUUUUCGGAUCGUAAAGCUCUGUUGUAAGAGAAGAACGAGUGUGAGAGUGGAAAGUUCACACUGUGACGGUAUCUUACCAGAAAGGGACGGCUAACUACGUG
RNAcentral lists this ribosomal RNA (494 nucleotides) under uncultured bacterium. RNAcentral describes it as "partial 16S ribosomal RNA". It matches the Rfam family "Bacterial small subunit ribosomal RNA", at positions 29 to 507 of the family's 1533-position model. The record is from RNAcentral.